GCGUGGCAUACGGCUCCUUAACACGUAGUCAACCUGCCCUGGAGAUGCGAACAACCCCGGGAAACUGGGAUUAAUUCGUGAUAGGUCAUCUCAUCUGGAAAGAGAGAUGGCUGAAAGGGGUGCGCGCCCUUCUUCUGCGUACUUGCUCCAGGAUGGGACUGCGUCCGAUCAGGCUGUUGGCGGGGUAAUGGCCCACCAAGCCAGUAACCGGUACGGGCCUUGAGAGAGGUGGCCCGGAGAUGGACACUGAGAGAAGGGUCCAGGUCCUACGGGGCGCAGCAGGCGCGAAACCUUCGCAAUGCGCGAAAGCGUGACGAGGUUAAUCCGAGUGAUCCCCGCUGAGGGGAUCUUUUGUCAGCUGUAAAUAGGCAGGCGAAUAAGGGGAGGGCAAGCCUGGUGUCAGCCGCCGCGGUAAUACCAGCUCCUCGAGUGGUCGGGGCGAUUAUUGGGCCUAAAGCAUCCGUAGCCGGUUCCGUAGGUCCUCUGUUAAAUCCAACCGCUUAACGGUUGACCUGCAGAGGAUACCGCGGGACUAGGAGGCGGGAGAGGCGGACGGUACUCCGCGUGUAGGGGUAAAAUCCUUUGAUCCGCGGAAGA
RNAcentral lists this ribosomal RNA (597 nucleotides) under uncultured archaeon. RNAcentral describes it as "bacterial SSU rRNA". It matches the Rfam family "Archaeal small subunit ribosomal RNA", at positions 76 to 656 of the family's 1478-position model. The record is from RNAcentral.